Molecule: non-coding RNA, 48 nt
Filed under: Schistosoma mansoni
Lineage: Eukaryota; Metazoa; Platyhelminthes; Trematoda; Strigeidida; Schistosomatidae
Source: RNAcentral
AUCCAGCUGACGAGUCCCAAAUAGAACGAAACACUCGUCAAACUGGAU